Long non-coding RNA from Etheostoma spectabile (orangethroat darter), 80 nucleotides. RefSeq lists it as uncharacterized. Lineage: Eukaryota; Metazoa; Chordata; Actinopteri; Perciformes; Percidae. The transcript has 3 exons. The record is from RefSeq and is a predicted model, not a curated record.
UUGUCAUUUACAAUUAGAUUAAUUCAGACACCUUUAGCUUUUUAGAUACAAUCAAAUUGAUGGGCUCCAUGGCAUUUUGC